Molecule: ribosomal RNA, 253 nt
Filed under: uncultured bacterium
Lineage: Bacteria
Description: partial 16S ribosomal RNA
Rfam family: Bacterial small subunit ribosomal RNA
Source: RNAcentral
UACAGAGGGUGCGAGCGUUAAUCGGAAUUACUGGGCGUAAAGGGCGCGUAGGCGGUUAUAUAAGUUAGAUGUGAAAUCCCUGGGCUUAACCUAGGAACUGCAUCUAAGACUGUGUAACUGGAGUGCUGUAGAGGGUAGUGGAAUUUCCGGUGUAGCGGUGAAAUGCUUAGAUAUCGUCAAGAACACCUAUAGCGAAGGCAGCUUACUAGGCUGUAACUGACGCUGAGGCACGAAAGUGUGGGGAUCAAACAGG